UUCCGGAGGGGGAGCCAGAGGGGUGUGGACCGGGGGAAGCAGCAAGGGCUCAGGGGCGCAUUGUGUUGCCAAAUGAUCAUAAGCAUGAUAAUAAUAAAAGUGGGUGGUGGCUUCACCUUGGGAAGCGAGGCAUGGCGGGGUCCUGGUUUUGCAGAGAGCCAUUGCGCAGAGGGGUGUGUUGAAAGAGAGCGAGAGAGAUUGAGGACAUGCUUGGACAUCCUAGCCCUCUGGAUGUCAAUCACUCAGUCAGCCAUCCAGCCAGCCUUCAUCCUAUAGACCCCAAUUGCUUUACCUCCAUCUGAUCCUCUGAAGAUGCCAGCCACAGAUGCAGGAGAAAAUGCCAUAGAAGACAUUGGCCAUACAGCCCAGAAACCACACUACGCCUCAGCCUUAUGCCCUUGGUGCCCACCUUUGGCUCCCCACACACCUAUUAUAAGGGACACAUUUCUCCCCUCUAUGCACAUAUUUCUUCCCCUCUGGAAAGGUGAAUGCCACCCCCAUCCAAAGGUGAGCCUGAGGAUGGUGAUCGAAGGGAGAUGUGCUCCAUUGCAGGGCUGCAGAGACACGCUUUCUUCUUUCUCCGCCGCCCCUGAAACCUAGAUAAAUUGUGACCCAGUUUUGGCAGUCUGGAGAAUAUUGUUUGUUAUUGCUGCCACCGGUGGUGGUUGGGGAGGUGAGGAGUGGCCGAAAUCCAGGAUUGGUUCCCCCCUUGGUCUUCAGGAUUGGAUCAUCUGCUCUUGUCUUCUUCUGACCCCCAUGCCAGGAGAGGGACCCGGGACUCCCUGCCACCUCCCCUUUCGGUAGGGCACUUCAUUUCCACUUCACCUACUGAGACACACUUGGAUUGCGUAGCAUAGCAGAAUGGUUUGCUGGUUGUAAUGCAACAUCCCUUCUCGGUUCCGGUUGUUCAACUUCCUCUCUUUGACUCUGAGAGAUCAGCCAGCCCUCUGUUCUAUCUUGCUUCUUCUCUUGGACUGCUUCCUUCACGGUGUCUUUGGUUUCCUAUAUCACCGUCGCGACAAUUCUAGAUGGCCAGCCUGUUGUGGUGUCCAAAUGGUUGUGAAGUUGUGUUGUCGAAGGCUUUCAUGGCUGGAAUGGAGCCUCCGGUGGCCUAGGGGAUAAAAGCCUCACGACUUGAAGGUUGGGUUGCUGACCUGAAGGCUGCCAGGUUCGAAUCCCACCCGGGGAGAGCGCGGAUGAGCUCCCUCUAUCAGCUCCAGCUCCAUGCGGGGACAUGAGAGAAGCCUCCCACAAGGAUGGUAAAACAUCAAAACAUCCAGGCGUCCCCUGGGCAACAUCCUUGCAGACGGCCAAUUCUCUCACUCCAGAAGCAACUCCGGUUGCUCCUGACACGAAAAAAAAUAUGGCUGGAAUCACUGGGUUGUUGUGAGUCUUCUGGACUGUAUGGCCACGUUGUAGAAGCAUUCCCUCCUGACGUUUCUCCCACAUCUAUGACGGGCAUCCUCAGAGGUUGAGAGGCUUUGGUCACCUUGGUGGAUGACCUCCGCAGAGAGCUUGACGGGAGAGUGUGUCCCUGUUUGUUCUCCUGGACAUCUCAGCGGCUUUUGAUACCAUCAAUCAUGGUAUCCUUCUGGGGCAGCUCUCUGGAAUGGGUAUUGGGGGUGCUGCAUUGCAGUGGCUCCACUCUUUUCUGGAUCGUCGUGCCCAAUUGGUGAAGCUGGGAGAUACCUGCUCGGACCCCUGGCCUUUAACCUGUGGGGUCCCGCAAGGUUCCAUUUUUUCUCCCAUGCUUUUUAGUAUCUACAUGAAACUGCUGGUUGAGGUCAUCCGGAGUUUUGGAAUUUGGUGCCAUCUUUAUGCAGGUGACACCCAACUCUACUACUCCUUUCCACCUGAUUUCAAGGAAGCCCCCCCAAAUCCUGGACCGGGGCCUGGCUGUUGUGAUGGAUUGGAUGAGGGCUAACAAGCUGAAAUUGAAUCCUGACAAGACAGAGGUCCUCCUGGUCAGUUGUGUGGCCAAUGGGUGGCAACCUAUAUUUGACGGGGUUACACUCCUUCUGAGGACACAGGCCCGCAGUUUGAGGGUCCUCCUGGACUCAGCGCUGACACUUGAAACUCAGGUGUCGGUGGUGGCCAGGAGGGCCUUCGCACUGUUAAAGCUUGUGUGCCAGUUGCAACCAUACCUCGAAAAGUCUGACUUGGCCAUGGUGGUCCACGCCUUAGUUACCCCCAUAUUGGAUUACUGCAAUGCGCUCUAUGUGGGGCUGCCUUUGAAGAUGGCCUGGAAACCACAAUUGGUACAACGGUCAGUGGCCAGAUUGCUAAUUGAAGUGAAUUAUAUAGAGAGGGAAACCCCCCUAUUAAAACAGCUCCACUGGCUGCCGAUAAGUUUCCGACCCCAAUUCAAGGUGCUGGUUAUCACCUGUAAAGCCCUAGAUGGUUCAGGUCCAGCCUGUCUUUGCGAUCGGCUCUGGAACUGUAUUACCAGCUGUAUACUGUACAAGCCCUGCCCAGCCUUCUCAGCUCUGAACACACCCACUGUGCCCAACUAUUGAUUGGUUGUUAUGAAAUUCAUGUUUUUAUGAUGUUUUAAUAUGUUUUUAUAUGGUAUUUUAUUGUACUGUAAGGUAUUUUAUGUUGACAUAUUUGUACUCUUGUUUUUGGGCUUUGUCCCCAUGUAAGCUGUCCUAAGUCCCUUCAGGUUUGUCCAUGCUCUUACUCUUCUCCUCCAUGUGCACUGGCAGCGGGGUUUAUUCCUGCCACCAAGGCUCCCUCCUCCUCCACUGCCAAGGAACCUUUCUUCAUCAAUAGGACCAAGGAUUUCGUAUUGGAUUAUAGAAAGAACAGACCAGAAAUCCAGCGCUUGGUCAUAAAUUGAGACCAAGUAAAGUGGGUGGCCAGUUUUAAAUUCCUGGGUGUCAGUGUUAAGGGGGAUUUGACUUGGUACACUAGUAAGGCAGCAUUGGUUAAGAGACCCUAACAGAGCUUGUAUUAUCUGAGACUUCUAAGGAACCAACAACUGAACGAAAAAUUGCUGGUGACUUUCUACUGCUGAGUUAUAGAGAUUGUCUUAACCUACUGCAACUGUGCAUGGUUUAGUAACUGCACAGUGGCAAAUAGGAAGGCACUCCAAAGAGUCACUACUACCGUCCAGAGAAUCAUUGCUUGCCCUCUCACCUCUUUGGAAGAACUUCCUCUCUUUGGAAGUCCUGUAGCCUUGAGGAAGCUCAGAACAUUCUUAAGGACCCCUCUUACCAGACAUAUUCUUUUUUUGAAUAUGGUGUGGUGGAGGCUCCUUCUUUGGAGGCCUUUAAACAGAGGUUGGAUAGCCAUCUUUUGGGGGGUGCUUUGAAUGUGAUUUUCCUGCUUCUUGGCAGGGGUUUGGACUGGAUGGCCCACAAAGUGUCUUCCAACUCUAUGAUUCUAUGCAUUAUUGCCAUCUGGCAGAUGGUACAGGGUGAAAAAAGCAAGGACAAACAGCUUUUAUACUAGAGCUGUGGCUAUGUUGAAUUCCAUGGUUUUGCAUUGAUGUGGCAUUAGGGGCUAUGUGAUGGUGGUUGGGGUGUGGAGGAAUGGGUGUGUUGUUUUGUGAUGUGUGCUGGGGAAGGCAUUUAAUUACGUUGUGCAAGAGCACAAAGACAAUAAAGCUAUUCUAUUCUGUUCUAUGCUACUAGUGCUGAUGACUGUUCAACAAUAUCUGGCAGGCAGGACAUUUCCUUAAAGAUCAGAACAACUUCUGCAUGAGUUAGUGGCAUAGAAUCUCAGCAGAUGUGGAAAAACUCCAAAUAUUUGUUUAACUGAGAGAACAUCUCUCUAGGAAUCUCUGCCAGAUGUUGACUGGAGAAUCAUGCUGGAGGAUCUACAAAUGUCUUGAGAAGUGUUCUCUCUAGGAGUCUGCAGGUCCCUUGGCACGACUCCGUGGUCCAGAGCAGUGGUUCUCAACUUUUGGGCCUCCAGGUGUUUUGGACUUCAGCUUCCACAGUUCCUAACAACUGGUAAGAUGGUUGGGAUUUCUGGAAGUUGAAGUGCAAAACAUCUGGAGGCCCAAAGGUUGGGAUCCACUAGUUUACAGUAAGGGUCCUCAAACUUUUUAAAAAAAGGAUUGGAUCACGAUCCCGCAGGCUUGGGGGGGGGGGGACUACAGCUUGAAAAAAAUGAAUGAGUUCCUAUGCAUAUAUCUUGUUUGAAGUGCAAAAAACAACAACCAAACAAACAAACCAAUAAAGAACAAUAUAUUAUUUAAAACUAAGAACAGUUUUAACCAACAUAAACUUAUUAGUAUAUCAAUGGAAAUUGUGGACCUUCUUGUAGCUGAUGAGAUAGUCAAGUCAAUUAUGAUUGCUGUUGUUGUGUGCUUUCAAGUCGUUUUAGACUUUGGGCAACCCUAAGUCUAACAUUUAGGAUGGGGCCAGGGAAAUGGCCUUGGAGGGCUGCAUCUGGCCUAUGGGAUCCGUGAUCUAGAGAUUCCUAGAGGGCAUUGUAAUAAAAUCUGUGAAUAAUCAAAUCUGCAAAAGUCAAACACAUAAAUGUAAAGACCAACUACAUUCAUAUUUAUGCCAGUUGACAGUCAGUGAGUGGCAGUGCGACAUCAGGGACUCCUAUGGGAUCCAGCUGCCAUCCUUUGCACAUUUCUGCUCAGUAAUGAAAGGACUAAACCCUCUUUCAGGUCUGUAACCUCAGCGCAACUGUCUGGAUUUUAAGGUGGAUUUCAAGGGUCAUAUUGGAAAGCAGAUUUUAACCACAACAUAUUGGCUACAUAUCUGAUACAAUCUCAGAUGUUAACAUAUUUUUUCUCCCAAUAACAUUCAACAAUUUUGAGGAUGUAUUCUUGGCACUGAAAUGUGUGGAAGUGUGCCAUUUUAUUUGCUAUGUUUUCCCCCCACAUUUCAUUAUCACCCUUGUCAUCCUCACUAAAACUUUAGUCUGGGGCAGGUAGCUGUGGUGGCAGCAAAUAUUAAUGGGAGGGACAGGACAAAUGGAAAGAAGAGGUGGCACCUGGCUGUCUGCUUCAUGAUGCAGCAAAUGAGAAGGAAGCUAUAAUGUGAGAAAGAAAGUGAAAUGGAUGGAAAGCUGAUAGAUCUCAAUGAAAGAAGAGAGAGGAAGAUACAGAUGAUGAAAGAGGAACAAAAAGACAGAAUGUUCGUUUCCAGUGGAGAAAAAGUGUCUGUUACAUGUAGAGACACUCAGUGGAAAACAGUGGAGAAUGGGGCAUCAGGACACUAAAGAUGGAAAGUGAUGAUGACAUGAACAUUGCUGACAGUGUGGAAGAAGAGGACUGUCAAAGAGGUAUGAAUUUCAGAGAGUCUAAAGAAACAGGAAAAGAGGGAGGAUGAAGAGUGGGUGGAGGGGAGGGGGGCAAAGGUGGUUAGAGCAAAAAAGAACAGAAUUAAUAAAAAGGAAGAUCAGUGGGCUCUUAGGAUCUGCUGGGUUUUGGUCCCAGGACCUGCAUGAAUAACAAAAUAUAUGAGUGCUCAAGUAGCAUUGUAUACAAUGGAUGUAGUAAAAUGAUGUCCCUUAUAUAAAAUAACAAAAUCAGGGUUUGCUUUUUUAAUUACUCAAAAUAUUUUUGAUUUAAAAAACCCCAUCUUUAAGUUACAGAUUCUGGAAUCCAUGGCUACAGAAUCCAUAGAUAUGGAGGUCUGACUUUAUAAUUUUGUACACAGUAUGGUUGAUUUCUAAAAUAUUUGUAGGUGUAUCGACUAGCAUGUUAAAAAAAUACACCUGGAGAUCAAUAUGUCAGCAUGAGAGUUAAAAUAAAAUUGCUCAAAAUAAUUAAUUGCUUUGAUUAUUAUCAAAAUAUUAUUUUGUUGGAGAAUUUUGGCCCAAGAAUGAUUAUUGCAAAAAGAGCCCACACUGUCCAAGUGGGGAAUAAAAUAUUAACAGUCAGUGAGAAAAUUAUACAUGGUAUAUUUAUUAUUUUAUUUAUUUACGAUACUUCUACUCCGCUUUUCUCAACCCCAAAGGGAACUCAAUUCAAUACCUCCAAAAUCAGUGUACACAAACAUUUAAAAUAGAGUUAUAAAAUAUAAUGAAAACAAUUAAAAGCAUUUAACACAAUACAACAUAAUAAUUCACAUGAUCCACAAAUGUUUAUUUAUUAAUGUCAACAUUAGGUUUUUUAAAUAAGUGCACACAGAUAUAGGUAAGUUUAAAAAUAGUAAAUGACUAGGUUGUAGUAGCAUGUGUUUUUCUUCAGAUAGAAAAAAAUUAAAUGAAAAAUAUCUUGACUUAUUUCAGUUGAAAAAUUAACUGCUGUAUUAAUUUGUUUAUUCCAGAUAUUGUUGCUGUUGUUGUUCCAGACAUAAGACUAGAGAUUAAGAAACCUUUCACUCCCUGGAUUGAAAAAUGCAAUUCUUCAGCAUGGCAGGGGCAAAGUCGCAACUCUUAUAACCAGAAAGGGGAAAAAUCAGGAGAACAUUCACAAUUAUAGUGCUAUAAUUCCACAUUAAAUUGCUAUGGUUCCGUCUUAUGAAAUCCUGGACUUUUUAGUUUAGCCAGUUACAUAGAUAAUUCUAAUGCCCCUCCCUGUACUACAAAUCCCAAAAUUCUGUGUGAUGGAACCUUGGCAGCUAAAAUAGAAUCAUAGCACUAUGUUUGUGCAAUGUGAAUGGACCCCUGCUGGAAAAGUACUGUCACUCAAUACUAAUGGCUGUUGCCUCAAAAAGAAACUCAAGACGACUCAGUGGAGCAACAUUUUAAGAGAAUGCAUCUUUAGAAAUGGAAAGAAAUAAUAGAGAUUGCUGGAGAAAGAAAGGAUCAGAGAAGCUGAACAACAGCCUCCAGAGACGCAGGAGAAUCUGAACAGUAUAGCAAUUGAACUGUCUGAUUCUCCAAAAGAUUUCUGACCCAGAAUCAGAGAACUAUACUUGCUGUAUUUUUUUUAAUAUUGCCCCCGCAUUGUCAUCAUAACUAUGACAAUUACUCUGCAUCAUUAUAAUUAGAACAGACAUUACCCCUCCUGAAAAACCUAACUUGGCAGCUCGCCAACCACAGUGUAUUUAAAGCACUGACUGGGGCAUUGCCAAGUUGCAAAAGUAGGUUUUGGGGGUCAUUGUCUGGUUAUGAAUGUAUAUGUAAACUCUCAACAAUUAGGAUAUCUUAAGUCCAGAUUAUGAUUUUUUUUUAAAAAAAUAAUAAAGAUUCCUACCUCAACCCUUAUUGUUUGAUGUAUAGUUUUUUUAAUCUUAUGAAUUCUCCGUUGGAUUGGUGCUCUUUCAUUCUCUUCUAAGCUCACAAGGGGGACAAAGUUGGUAGUGGGGAAUAAUACAGACAAGAGCUUCACCUUCAUUGUAGUAACGAUUUUAGUACAAUAGCAUAAUAUAAAUUGAACAGCCAGUUAGAAAUAACAUACAAAGCAUAGAUGCUGCAUAUUCAAUAUAGACACUAUUGACAGAAUGUGUUGGCGCUUUUGCAUUAACUUUCCACCUCUGUGCUCAGAAAUCCAAAAGUUUAUGAAACAAUGCUAUGACAUUACAUUUUCUCUAUCCCACUGAAAAAUUUAUUUGAAAGGGAAGUGUUUAUUAUAUUUCUAUUUAUUCAUCUUUUUUUUGGAAAUAUAAAUAUGUUUUGGCUAUAUAAUGGUUUUUAUGGUCUGUUAAUAAAUCAUUAUAAGCCAGUCUAGGAGAAAGGAAGGGUAUAAAUCCAACAAGCAAGUAAAUAAAUAAAUAAAUAAAUAAAUAAUGUUCUAAUUUGUGUUACCCUACUGAACUAAAAACCUUGCUGGAAUGGAGAUGGAAAAACCCAAAUUUUUCCCCCUUAUCUCUGUUUUGAGCUUUGCCCUGCUCAUAGUUUCUGUUCUCCAUUAAAGUACUCUAGAAAGGGGCAGGGAAGACAGUGAGAGGGAGGAGAUAUGUGAAUAAUAAUAAUAAUAGUAAUUCCUAAUAUUGUUUCUGCAAAAAAUGUUUUUCAAAUUACACUGAAUUUUAUUGCGGGGAAGGUAUGUUAUGAUGUCAUUUAAUAAAGACAAAACAUAAUUUGCUAUGAUCAGUAUCAAGACUUUGCUUUUGAUCUCUGCCCCUUAUCUUGGAGGCACUGAUGCUAGAUUAUGAUAUUUACCUGCUUCUUGUUUGUGUGCUUCCCCAGAAUCAGCAGGGUUAAAGUUGCAGCAUUCCUUACUUGACCUUAGGACAGGGCUUUGUCUGUCUACUACUAGGCUGCAUUUUUCACUUCCAGAGGUCCUACUACACCCUCUUCUAAAACUAGAAAGAUAAAUUGAUUUGAAGGAUGGUUCCUCGCCUAAUAAUCUGUAAUGUUGGAGGGUAUGUAUUAACUGCAUAUCUCAGAUAGCAACUAAAUGAUCAUAAUGAGAUAGGAGUCUGCAUGGUCACCUGGUGAACCUGCAUAAACAUGUUGGGUUCUACCAGAGACUGGGACUGUUUUACAAUGGUUUUGCUUCUUUUAAAAUAUGUAGCCACUACCAGAUACAUGCUUUCCCAACAUUUCACAGAUGGGAACCGGCUCCAAUAUGUCUAAACAACCUCAAAGCCUGGUAAAGAUAGCAAAGGUUAUUAAUGUGGAUGUAAGGGAAACUUAGCAUUUUGAUCAUUAGGUCUGUAGGAAUUCAUUUUUUAUUUAUACUGCUUAUUCCAAGAUAGAUGUAUUCAGUAUCCAGCAACAUAAAUGAACUACAUCUUAUACUUGUUAUGAUGGUGCUGUGAGUUUUAAAUGUGGAAUGUAUAUGGGCAGUGUCCUUAAAAAAAUCAAGUGAACAAAGUUUUGAGUUUCAUUUUGCUCUAAUUUAUCAGAGAAGCAGAAGCAGUUUGUAGUGGAUGAAUGUUGAGCAGAGGGGAAGCAAAUAUGUUCAGUUGCAUGUAUCACAGAUGUGACUAUAUAGUUUUUCCGCCCCUUGUUUUGCACAAGUAAAAAUAGGAUCUAAAAUUAUCAACUUCUAUCUUUCUUCAGAGUGACGGCAGUUUUGGCUUCUCCAGACCUCCAUCAGGCUGAAAAUUAAAUGACAAUGAAGUUCUGGUGAUGCUGAACAUCACUUUUGGUUUCUUUUUCGCUGUUUUGGGGUGGCCCCGUACAGCAACCAUCACGGACAAAACUAUUGCACUGAGGUUGUAUCUACAUUGCCAUAUAAUUCAAUUUCAGAAUGCAGAUUAAUUGCAUUGAACUGGAUUAUAUGAGUUUAUAUUGCCAUAUAAUCCAGUUAAUCUGCAUACUGAAACUGCAUUAUAUGGCAAUGUGGAUGAUGAUGAUAAUCAUCAUCAUCAUCAUCAUCAUCAUCAUCAUCAUAACACUUUAUUUAUAACCUGCCCUCUCUCCCCAGGGGGACUUUGGUCAAUUUCCAGGGAAUAACAAAAAUGGCAAAUAUUCAAUGCCUAAAAGAGGGUACAGCCUGGGGAUAAUUUUUUUCAGUAGAAAAAACACAUUUUUCUUCCAUAAAAUCAAUUUCCAAUCACUACCUUAGAUAGUCUGCACUAGUAGUUUGUGGUAGGCAUCAGCACUGUAGAAUAAAAGCCAACUUUAACUGCUAAGGCUCAGUGCUAUAGGAUUUGUAGUUUAGUAAAGCAUCAGCAUGCUUAAUCAGAAACGGCUGAGGACCUUGUAAAACUGCUACUUCCACAAUUCCAUAGCAUUGAGCCAUGGCAGUUAAUUUUACCAUGUAGAUGCAGCCAUACAACAUCAGUUAGGGUGACAUGGCUACCUAAGGAAGCUGAUUUUACAUGUUGUGUAAGUAUAGCAAAUAUGUUACUUAACUUAUACGUAAUUAUUGUAUAUUUACCAAAAUGUGACAUUUCCUGUCUCAGGUGUCAGAAUAAUGGGUAACUUUGGCUGUUAUGGCCUUGGACCAUUUUCGUAGAGACAGCUUAAUGCAAUAAAAUAUUUUAGGCUGGCAAUGGACUUUCAGAGCAGGUAUUUGAAAUGUGGUCCUCCAGUUCUUAUUGUGGGAGCAUGUACGAAACCAGUUAAUGUGUGUGUGUCAACUGUAAAAUAAGAUGCAUGAAGCUGAUUGGCUGGGCCAUGCCUGGGGAGUUGGAUGAUCCUGGGACUUUUGGAUACUGUCACAUUUUUCAGGCUUGAACUAUGCAGGUGCUCAGAGAGAGAGUAAGAAAGAAGCAGAGACACAGAUUUUGAAGUGUGCUCUUGCUUCAUGGGCUGCUGGAGGGAGAUUCUCCACAUGGACAGAGAAAGACCAUUUUAAAUCUCUCAUAAAAGGACAUUAAGUGAGUUGAUGCCACCUAUCACAUGAUUGUAAAUAUGUUGUUCUGAAUUACACUGAGUACACUACUUGUUUUUUAUUUUUCAUCUGCAUGGCAUACUUUCUUUUUGUGGCAAAGCAGUGUGUGGGCUAGUCAAACGUGGACUAAACAUGAUUUUUCAUUCCGGCACAUUUAUCAGUUAUAGACAAGUGUUGAUAUGAGGUGGGAUGUUCCCCUUACCUGAAGUGGAGAAAAACCUAACAGCAGCUCUUCUGUAAUUGAUAAAUACUGAUGUCCAAAAUGUGGGGCAGAGAUAUUUCACUACUGAACUGUGGCGGCUAGGCUUUAGAGACAACAGGUUUCCAUCAUAGCUUCUCUGUAGAAACACAUGGCAGGUUUCCAUCUCUGAGUCACAGCAAUUUCGUUAUUUAUCAUUUAUUUAUAAGGUGAUCAAUAUAUCCAUCCCUUCUGGCAUUACUCAGUGUGGCAUUACGCUUUUGUUGAAAUUUGCAUAAUCAAUGACAUUCUAGGCAGUUGAUGAAAUGCAUGCGAGUGAAAAAAAUAUAUAAAUAACUUGUUUUCUUUGUGCCUAUGGAUUAAAGCUCCUGCCAACCUAGCAGUUCGAAAACAUGCAAAUGUGAGUAGAUCAAUAAGUACCGCUCCGGCGGGAAGGUAACGGUGCUCCAUGCAGUCAUGCCAGCCACAUGACCUUGGAGGUGUCUACGGACAACACCGGCUCCUCGGCUUAGAAAUGGAGAUGAGCACCAACCCCCAGAGUCGGUCACGACUGGAUUUAACGUCAGGGGAAAACCUUUACCUUUACCUAUGGAUUAAAGAGAUUUUUGGCUACCUGUGUUGAAACUAAAAGCCAGUUAUAAAUUUGACUACAGACUCCUGAACUUCUGACAUAUAUUUGUUAGUGCAAUUACGCUGGCUGUUUUUUCCUCCCUCCUUCACCUUCUGCUUCAAGAACUCAAGGGGGUGAUAGGCCUUCCAGUACUGCCUUCCUCCUCCAGGCAGCCCAUCCACUUGUACAUCCCAUCCUGGUGCAGUAUUAUUACACACAGUGGUAAAAAGGAAAAGAAUCCCCUUCCAUUGUUUUUCUCUCCCUUCCCCAGUUUCCCAGCUGGGCUCAUCGCAGGGUUGACUUCAGCUUCCGAGUUGUCAGUUCUGAUUUUUCAGAGGCUUUUAUGAAAGGGCUGGGGGAAGGGAUGCUCUGCUCAGUUCUUCUGCAUCUCUUUUCUGCCCUGUUUUCUGUUGAUAAAGCUGGCAGAGGGUUGUGCGUAUAUGUGUGACCACGUUUUCUCCCCAGGCUUGUUGGUUCAGUCCUUGCAUCCUCUCUCCCAACAGCCCUGUUGCCUGGACCAAAACAGAACAUUUGAACUCUCUGUACCAUGAAGGGUGAUGUGCAUUGGUGGAGGAUGGGUGUUUCUCUGCAUUGUUCACAGCUGCCAUCAUUUUCAUGCACAGCUUCCCUUACUCAGUACCAAGGAUGUGUGUGUACAUGUAUAUGCAUAUACACACACACAUAUAUACAUUCAUACUCUGCUUUAAAAAACAAAAAUUUGCCCCAAGUAGUCCAGAUUCUUCACUGAAAAAAUGGUCAAUUUUGUGAUUGCUUUUGAAUCCCCACGUAGUCAUAGAAGCCUGGUAGGUAACCUUGGCAGGUCAUGCUCUCUCAGAAUGCAUCUACACUGUAGAAUUAAUGCGGUUUGACAUCACUUUGAUCACCUCUGGCUCAAUGCUGUAGAAUCCUGGGACCUGUACCUUGGUGAGGCAGCAGAAAAGACUAAAGAUAUUGAUCCUACCUAUGCUGCCAUAAUAAUGUAGUUUCAGAAUACACUUGUAACUGCAUUGAACUGUAUUAUAUGAGUCUACAUUGCUAUAUAAUGUAGUUAAACUGUAUUCUAAAACUAUAUUAUAUAUUAUAUAUGGCACCCUUGUGAAACUAUAAUUCCUAGGAUUCUUUAGCAUUUAGCCAUGGCAGUUAAUUUGGUGACAAAUAGCAUUAAUUCUACAGUGUAGAGGCACUGUCAGAGAAAGUCAAGGGCAAACCCCCUUUCAACCAAUCUUGCCAAUAAAACCUCAUGAUACUUUCACUUUAGAAUCAUGAUGAGUUGCAAAUGACUUAAAGACAUACAACAACAACAACAACAACAUCAACUCUGGAGCUUUAAAAAUUUGUUACUUUUUUGGUCUUAUUUUCUUCAGGUGUUUUGGUUGCUUUUAAAGACCACUUCAUUCUGAUUUUAGUGAUCAUGUGGAGGAGAGGCAGGAAGAAAAUAUAUGGCUUUGGAAUAUAUCAAAAUAUUGUUUCAAUAAUUUUCUGCCUUUUGAGAUUUUAGUAAUCAUUACUGUACUUAGAUAUAGUCCGCCCUCUACAUUUGCUGAGUUUAGAGCUUCAGGCCCCCCACAAAAGUGGGUAACGGACAAAUUAAUUUUUUUUUUUCCAAAGGUAUAGAGGGCUGACUAUUUUAAAGUGAUGCAGUGAUGUAGUGGUUCGAAUGUUGGAUUGGGACUGGAUUUACACUGCCAUAUUACACUGCAUUAUAUGGGCCUACAACACACUCUAUAUAAUGCAGUUCUAAACAGUAUUAUAAGACAGGGUAUAUCCAGCUUGUGACUCUGGAAAUUAGGAUUUGAACCUGUGGUCAGCCAUGGAAACCCAUUGGAUGAAUCUGGGCAAACCACAAACUCUUUGCAAACCUACUAUGAAUAAUUUUUCCAAGAAACUCCAGUGAUAAGGUCUCCUUAGGGCUACCAUAAGUUGAAAAUGACUUUAAGGUAAGCAGCAAGACGAUUUGUUCCCAUAUACCAUGUUUGGGAGGAUGAGAAUCAUGUGCCUUGUAAUUUAUAAAAGGUUCUCUGCCUGAUGCCCUUUAAUUCUUUCUGGCCUUAGGUGCUAAUUAGUUCCUGCCUUUAGGUAAAUAGGAUGUUUGGGAGCUAUCUUUUCAGCACACCUAUAUGUUUAUACAUAUAUUAUCUUUAUGCCAACCCAAGGUAUAAGUUCAAAAACACAUUAUGGCUAAAAUGAAUCCUAAAAAGGGUAAAUAAAACAAUUAUGUAGCACAAAUUUAAGGUAGUAUGAAAACAUUUAAAAACAAAGCAAUGGCUGGAUCUACAAUGUCAUAUAAUGAAGUUUGAAUCUGCUGUGUAAACCCAAAUAAUGGUAUUAUAUGGCCGUGUAGAUCCAGCCAAUGAGUAAAAACAUAGCCUGCAAGAGUUAUGCUUCCAUACCCAAUUAAGGAUGAUAUCCUCUUUUUCCAUUAACUAGCUUGGCUGUCAAAGGGACCAUAACAGGCCAUAGAGCUAUAUAAACAUGGUAGAGCCAUAGUGCCCAGUGAGCCAAAAGAGACAUAGAUCUGGCUGUCACAUGGUAUCAACAUUUCCUAUGUCCAGUGGUUUUUGAGCACAGCUUUUUCAGCAAUGUAUUGAGUCUCUGGCAUUUCAAUGUGUGGUCCCAAUGUUUGCCCUCAAGGUUCUAUGUCCAAGUACAAAACAUGCUCAUGCCAUGUCGUUUAUGAAAAGGACUUACACAUCCACAUUUAUUGCUCUCUUUUUUUAAAAAAAAAUAUAAUGGCUACAGCAGAAGGUUUCUUCCCCACUCCCCAAUGCAUGAGUUUUAAAGCUGUGAUUCAUAUUCAUGUGCGCCUUUCCUAACUGGCAUGCUAUUUUCAUAUUUCAUGCCUGGAUUCUUUGAGAAUAUGCUUUUGGCAGAGCAAUUGUUGUUAUCUAUGUCCAUGUGGUUAAAUGCAAGCAUACCCAACUACAGUAUAUUUGAAACUGACUUUGGGUUACUUUGGCUUCUCCAGUGUUGGUGUGUCUACGUAUAUUAUUUUACUUUCAUUCUUCCUGCAUUUGAGUCUCCAAAUUUAAGUACAGUAGAGUCUCACUAAUCCAAGCCUCGCUUAUCCAAGCCUCUGGAUAAUCCAAGCCAUUUUUGUAGUCAAUGUUUUCAAUAUAUUGUGAUAUUUUGGUGCUAAAUUCGUAAAUACGGUAAUUACAACAUAACAUUACUGCGUAUUGAACUACUUUUUCUGUCAAAUUUGUUGUAUAACAUGAUGUUUUGGUGCUUAAUUUGUAAAAUCAUAACCUAAUUUGAUGUUUAAUAGGCUUUUCCUUAAUCCUUCCUUAUCAUCCAAGUUAUUCGCUUAUCCAAGCUUCUGCCGGCCCGUUUAGCUCGGAUAAGUGAGACUCUACUGUAUUUUGUAUGCAUUAUUCUGCCAAGGAAGUGAUCAGCAUUUUGGUUUAUAUAGAAUUCAUGCAUUCUGUACCCAUGAAUUGGACCAUCCACAGCUUGAAAAUAUUUUUAAAUAUGCUAAAAAGCCAUUUUAUUUAAGCAUAAUAUUUUAUUAUUCCAUUGUAUAACUUGAACAUCAAUGGAUUUUGGGAUCUGCAGGUUGUCCUGGAACCAACUCCUAAUUGAUACCAAGGACAUGCUGUAUGUUGUACACAAAAUAUUCAGCCAGUCUACACUAUCCUGCUAAUAGAUGUGGAUAUAGUGGAGAAGUAAUGGAGCCAAAUAAGUGAGUGAUGUACAGUUCAUAUUCAAAGGACACAGUUCUUUUUACCAGUAGACAAAGGUAAUUCGAAUUCUGCUACAUUGAAAAAAUAGUAUCACAGACUCUACUGGCUAUUAUCUGCAGCAGCGUUGUCCAACAUUUUGGUUUCGCUGGGCCAUAUUGGAAGAGGAAGAAUUGUCUUGGACUACACAUAAAAUACACUAACACUAAGAAAAAAAGGAAAAAAAGGACUGUGCCUAAUUUUUACAAUAUUCAUUACCACAAAUGACCUAAAUAACCCCUUGCAUAAUAGUGCCAGUAUGUUCCACCCUGUUCAGAGGGUCUUUCAAAAUCAUCAAGUAGGUCUUCUGGCUGAAUUAUUUGCAAUUAUGUUGUUAAUUAUAGGUCAUAGUCCAAUAUGUGUGGACAUAGCACACUCUGGUUAUUCCAUUCCAUUCUGCUGUUGUCUACAAAGUUUGUGCCCAAGAACUGUGCAAUUGAGUUACAAAAAAUCUCAUGAAUAAAUCUCACAUGUUUUAAGCAAAAUAACGAUGUUUGUAAUGGGCUGCAUUCAUACUGUGUUUCCCCGAAAAUAAGACAGUGUCUUAUAUUAAUUUUUGCUCCCAAAGAUGCACUAGGUCUUAUUUUCAGGGGAUGUCUUAUUUUUCCAUGAAGAAGAGUUCACAUUUAUUGUUGAACAAAAAAAUGAACAUUUAUUAUAUACUGUACAGUAGUUGUCAUCAUAAACCAGCAUAACCAGACAAACUGUGAACCCUAUCAAGAAUUUCUUGUUACUACCAAUAUUUCCAUGUACAACACUUUAUGAUACGUAAAUUUACCAAUCCUGCAUACUCUGGUGUUUUGUUCGGCGAGCAUGCUUCCAAACACAAACUUUGCUAGAUCUUAUUUUCAGGGGAGGUCUUAUAUUUAGCAAUUCAGCAAAACCUCUAGUAGGUCUUAUUUCUGGGGAUGUCUUAUUUUAGGGGAAACAGGGUAGCUAUCUUGGGCUACAUGUGGCCCGUGGGCAAUGGGUUGGACAAGCCUGGUCUAGUGUUGUCAUUAUGUGCCUUCAAGUUGUUUCUGACUUAUUCACUUGAUGAUCAUAUGUCAAUGGUGAAUAGGAUCAGGGUAAGGCCAUUCUACUUUUGUACUUCUCAUCUUUUACAUCUGCAGCCCUCUUUUCUUCCUUAUCACACUGAGCUGCCUUGUUCCAGAGAAAAGCAUGAAAUGAUCAGUUGAUUAUUUUAAAAGAAAUAUUAGGCCAAGGGUAGCAUGCAUCCCGAGGGCCACAGGUUGACCACCUCUGGAUUAACUAGUACAGCAGGUAGUUGCAAAGCAGAAGUGAGUGGCUGUUAGUAGUGAAGAUGUGUUCAAAGAGAAGUUGGAAAGGUGGGGGUGUUUCUGGUAUAUCUUCACUGAGUAAUGUUGAAGAAAUUAUUUGCAUCUUUCUGUAUGAAAAACAGAUUGCGGAUCAUGUGGAUAUUUUGCAAAGAGGUGCGUUGGUGGUAGAUAUAUCAGGGAAAGGUUAAUUAACAGACUACGAUGUUUACUACAGAGUAGCUGCAUAAAUAUUAAAGGUGUUUAUUGGGUCCUAUUAUGUCUUUUCAAAACUAGUUUAGAUGUUAAUUUAGAUCCUUGGUGUAGCAGUUCAUGUACUCAGAUAGUGUAUAAUAGAGAUUAUCUUUUUUAUUUUGGAGAAAUAGUCUUCUUUCAAGAAGAAAUUGUUCCUUGAGAUGCCACGCUAACCACAUGUCUGGACUUUGACACCAGGGAAAGGUCUCUAGAUGCCUGACAUGAUAAACAAAGGGCAACAUGCAUGUUAUGUAGGGAGCCAGACUUGUUGCUAGGAUGAGGCGAAGGAGGACCACUAUCCAUCUGCUUUCCCCUGUGUUUGAUUCGCUUGAGGCAGCUGAGCUUUUUGGCAAAAGGAAUUGGUAGUAGUUUGUAUGAAAAUGAGAUGCAGAGCUGAAGGUUUUAGUCCCAGCUGCUGCAUUUGUAAUAUUUGUUAGUAACUACAUUAGAAAGCCAGCAUGUUGUAGUUGUUUCAGUGUUGGAUUGUGACUCUGGAAUUCUGGAUUUGAAUCCGCACUUGGUGCUGGGCGACCUUUGUCAAGUCAUGAUCUCUAAGUCUCAGAAGGUGGCAAAUGCAAGCCCCAUCUGAACAAAUCUUGCCAAAAAAACCCCAAAACAACCUGGUGAAUGGUUCAUCGUACAACUGUCAUAGGUUACAAACAAUUUGAAGGCAAACGAGAACUAAAUCAUAUGAAGCAAUGCAAAAGUUUUAGUUGCAGAUUCUCUCUCUCUCUUUCAUCUUUGAUAUGAUACAUUUGGUAUGUGUAUCAUGCUGUUCCCAAUAUCCAGUUGCUCACAACAAUGAAGUUUUGAUCCAACCAUCGUCACAUAUGUUGUUGUCAUGUACAUGUUACAAAAGAAUCAGUGAUGGUGGGAAAGACUUAAGAGAGGCAGCUUUAGAGUCGGACCUUUGCAUUUACUGGGAGUAGGAGGACAGGACCUCUGUGAAAGUGAAAAAUUGUGCAUACAAUAAUUACUAUUUUUACCUAAGAAAACCGCUCUCUGGUAGUUUUUAGGGUCUUCUAGCAUGCCCCUGUGGUCAACUUCUGCUUGGAAACUGACCAUAGAAUCAUACUGGAGGACCUACAGAAGAGUCUCACUUAUCCAAGCCUCUGGAUUAUCCAAGCAAUUUUGUAGUCAAUGUUUUCAAUAUAUCGUGAUAUUUUGGUGCUAAAUUCGUAAAUACAGUAAUUACAACAUAACAUUACUGCGUAUUGAACUACUUUUUCUGUCAAAUUUGUUGUAUAACAUGAUGUUUUGGUGCUUAAUUUGUAAAAUCAUAACCUAAUUUGAUGUUUAAUAGGCUUUUCCUUAAUCCCUCCGUAUUAUCCAAGAUAUUUGCUUAUCCAAUUUUCUGCCGGCCCGUUUAGCUUGGAUAAGUGAGACUCUACUCUAUAACAUUUUAAUCAAAUGCACAUACAUUAAACCUGCAAAUGUGGAGGGCCAACUGUAUUUUGUAACAUGUAUUCUUCCCUGCCAUCCUUUGCUCACCCUUAUUGUGUGCUCUAUCUUGGUGCCCUUGGCUUUUGGAAGUUGAGUUGAAUCUGCUGUUAUGUUAGGGCACUGUCUGCAAAGUGUACUCUCUCCUUGUUUCCCAGUCAUAACUGCUUGUAAUUGUGCACAACAUGAGGGGUGGGGGUGGGCAGAGAGACCAUAUGGCUCCACAACAUGUGCCUUAUCAUCUAACAUAUAGUCCCUUCAAGAGAUCUAUCAUAUUUCAGGAAAUUCUGUCGCUUCUUAGUGUUGCUUAGACAGUAGCUCUUGACUUAAUAUAUGUCCUAUGUGUUUCCUUGAACUAGGAAAAAAAGAUGAUGAUAACGGAGAGCCUUUGUCCAUGGUCUGGGUGCAUUUUCCUUGUCGUUCAUAGAAUCAUAGAAUCGUAGAGUUGGAAGAGACCUCAUGGUCCAUCCAGUCGAACCCCCUGCAAGAAGCAGGAAAAUCUCAUUCAAAGCACCCCCGACAGAUGGCGAUCCAGCCUCUGCUUAAAAGCCUCCAAAGAAGGAGCCUCCACCACAGUCCGGGGAAGAGAGUUCCACUGCCGAACAGCUCUCACAGUGAGGAAGUUCUUCCUGUUGAAUCUCCUUUCCUGUAGUUUGAAGCCAUUGUUCCGCGUCCUAGUCUCCAGAGCAGCAGAAAACAAGCUUGCUCCCUCCUCCCUAUGACUUCCUUUCACAUAUUUGUAUAUGGCUAUCAUGUCUCCUCUCAGCCUUCUCUUCUGCAGGCUAAACAUACCCAGCUCUUUAAGCCGCUCCUCAUAGGGCUUGUUCUCCAGACCGUUGAUCAUUUUAGUCGCCCUCUUCUGGACGCUUUCUAGCUUGUCAACAUCUCCCUUCAACUGUGGUGCCCAGAAUUGGACACAGUAUUCCAGGUGUGGUCUGACCAAGGCAGAAUAGAGGGGGAGCAUGACUUCCCCGGAUCUAGAUGCUAUACCCCUAUUUAUGCAGGCCAGAAUCUCGUUGGCUUUUUUCGCUGCUGCAUCACAUUGUAGGCUCAUGUUUAACUUGUUGUCCACAAGGUCUCCAAGAUCUUUUUCACACGUACUGCUGUUGAGCCAGGCGUCCCCCAUUCUGUAUCUUUGCAUUUUAUUUUUUCUGCUGAAGUGAAGUAUCUUGCAUUUCAAAUAAAAUUAACUCAUGAUUUUAGAAUUGAGUAGAAAGGGCUCCCAAGGAAAAGCAUGUGGUAUCAACCUGGCACUUGUGAACUUUCCUGUUGACAGGCGUUAGAAAACCAGCUACAUCCCAUUGUUUUGAAUUAGUGUAUCUCAAUGCUGUGUCUAAAAAUGUAGGCACUCAGAUGCUUAUGACAUGUUUUUUUUAAAUGUUAAUUACAGAGGAGCUGUUGUGAGAUGAUUUGUGUUUACAGUUGCUGGACCUGUGCACUAUAGUUAGAUGUAGUGGAAAGGAUUGGUGUAUAUGUUUAGCUCAGGUCUGCUAACAGACGCCAAGGUGUUACAGAACUUUCCUCUUCCGUUAUUUAACUUUCCAACCAAGCUGGCACUCUCCUUCGAAAGAGAUGGUGAGCGUAUGAAUGUUUGCCUGUGUGCUCUUGGUACAGUCGUGUGUCUAUGUGUGUAUGGAGCCGGGAAGAGAGAAAAGAGAGAAAACAUGAGCAGGAAAGCAUGUACAUGUGUCCCCAGGCCAAAUAAAAUUGGCCAGGUUCCUAACUACAGUUACACUCAGCCUUUUGUAUGUAUGUGUACCUCCUUAAGGAAAACGUGAGCUCCUGUUUCCCUCCAGAUUUUAUGUGUGUUGGUUGAGCAUGGAUACUAACUUCUGAUCUACUUCAGUCUCCUAUUGUAUUUGAAGUAAUUUCACAUGUGGGUUUGCAGCUAGAUUUACUUCUUCCUGAGAGCCGCAGAAUACUCUCAAUUCAGAAAAAAAUAUAAUAACUGUAUUAAUAAUUCAGAUAUACAUUGAGUAACUCUUUAUUAGAAAUGCUUGAGACCAGAAGUGUUUUGGAUUCCAGACUUUUCAGAUUUUGGAAUACUUGUAUCUGCAUAUAUGUACAUAAUGCGUUUAAACUCAAGUCUAAACAUGACAUUCCUUUUUGUUUCAAAUAUACCUUAUACACAUAGCCUGUAGAUAAUUUUAUACACAAUGAUUGUAAUAAUUUUUUUGUGUACAUUGAACCAUCAAUAUUUUAGUUGCCUGUGUGGAGUUUUGGAUUUUGGAGUAUAUCAGAUUUAGAAUUCUGGAUAAGGGAUGCUCCCAAUAUUAAAAAAAAUGUUUUGUUCAAUCACAUGCUAAGAUCAAGUGAUACCCUGAACAAAAUCUAGUGCUUAUAUAAAAAUAAAAACAGUAAUAACAGAAUUCUGGUGAAUAAGUGGAUUCUGAGUCAGACUAUGUACAUUUUCAACUUGAUUGUGGCUUUUGGAGAAAAUGAAUGAAACAAACAAAUGUUGACAUCAGAAGUGGAAAGUGUUUGCCUUCCCCAGAUACUUCGAACUGCAACUCCCUCAUCCCUUAUUAUUGACUGUGCUGGGUGAGGAUGAUGGAAGUUGGAGGAGUAAAAAAUCAGAGAUGUUUCUAAUCAUUGGUUUACAUGAAUAAAUGUUUAGGCAGAACUACUUAAUGCCUUCUUUGCCUCGGUCUUCUCAGAAAAAGAAAGCCAUCUUCAACCUCAGCAACACGGAAUGGACUACUUAAUGCCUUCUUUGCCUCGGUCUUCUCAGAAAAAGAAAGCCAUCUUCAACCUCAGCAACACGGAAUGGACGAAGGAUUGGGGGAAAUCCAACCCCAAAUAGGGAAACAAGUUGUCCAGGAACACUUGGGCUCUCUAAACGAAUUCAAGUCCCUAGGGCCAGAUCAGCUACACCCAAGAGUAUUGAAGGAACUAGCGGAAGUUAUUUCAGAACCACUGGCAAUUAUCUUCGAGAGUUCUUGGAGAACGGGAGAAGUCCCAGCAGAUUGGAGGAGGGCGAAUGUGGUCCCUAUCUUCAAGAAGGGAAAAAAGAACGACCCAAACAAUUACCGUCCGGUCAGCCUCACAUCAAUACCAGGCAAAAUUCUGGAAAAGAUCAUUAAGGAAGUGGUCUGCGAACACUUAGAAACAAAUGCGGUCAUUGCUAAUAGUCAACACGGAUUUACCAAAAACAAGUCAUGCCAGACUAAUCUGAUCUCUUUUUUCGAUAGAGUUACGAGUUGGGUCGAUACAGGGAAUGCUGUGGAUGUAGUGUACCUGGAUUUCAGUAAGGCCUUCGACAAAGUCCCCCACGACCUUCUGGCAAACAAACUAGUAAAAUGUGGGCUAGACAAAACUACGGUUAGGUGGAUCUGUAAUUGGCUAAGCGAACGAACCCAAAGGGUGCUCACCAAUGCGUCAUCUUCAUCAUGGAAAGAAGUGACAAGUGGAGUGCCGCAGGGCUCCGUCCUGGGCCCGGUUCUGUUCAACAUCUUUAUUAACGACUUAGACGAAGGGUUAGAAGGCACGAUCAUCAAGUUUGCAGACGACACAAAACUGGGAGGGAUAGCUAACACUCCAGAAGACAGGAGCAGAAUUCAAAACGAUCUUGACAGACUAGAGAGAUGGGCCAAAACUAACAAAAUGAAGUUCAACAGGGACAAAUGCAAGAUACUUCACUUCGGCAGAAAAAAUGGAAAUCAAAGAUACAGAAUGGGGGACGCCUGGCUUGACAGCAGUGUGUGCGAAAAAGACCUUGGAGUCCUCGUGGACAACAAGUUAAACAUGAGCCAACAAUGUGAUGCGGCUGCUAAAAAAGCCAAUGGGAUUCUGGCCUGCAUCAAUAGGGGAAUAGCGUCUAGAUCCAGGGAAGUUAUGCUCCCCCUCUAUUCUGCCUUGGUCAGACCACACCUGGAAUACUGUGUCCAAUUUUGGGCACCACAGUUGAAGGGAGAUGUUGACAAGCUGGAAAGCGUCCAGAGGAGGGCGACUAAAAUGAUUAAGGGUCUGGAGAACAAGCCCUAUGAGGAGCGGCUUAAAGAGCUGGGCAUGUUUAGCCUGCAGAAGAGAAGGCUGAGAGGAGACAUGAUAGCCAUGUACAAAUAUGUGAAGGGAAGUCAUAGGGAAGAGGGAGCAAGCUUGUUUUCUGCUGCCCUGCAGACUAGGACACGGAACAAUGGCUUCAAAAUACAGGAAAGGAGAUUCCACCUGAACAUCAGGAAGAACUUCCUCACUGUGAGAGCUGUUCGACAGUGGAACUCUCUCCCCGGGGCUGUGGUGGAGGCUCCUUCCUUGGAGGCUUUUAAGCAGAGGCUGGAUGGCCAUCUGUCGGGGGUGCUUUGAAUGCGAUUUCCUGCUUCUUAGCAGGGGGUUGGACUAGAUGGCCCAUGUGGUCUCUUCCAACUCUAU
This is a long non-coding RNA of Anolis carolinensis (green anole), 21985 nucleotides long. RefSeq annotates it as RNA-directed DNA polymerase from mobile element jockey. The record is from RefSeq and is a predicted model, not a curated record. The transcript is spliced from 2 exons. NCBI's taxonomy places the organism in Eukaryota, Metazoa, Chordata, Lepidosauria, Squamata, Anolidae.